GUCCAUUCUUGAACAUAUACUGAAAUUGGUACAAGAAGAUCAACAUGGUCCUUGCGCACAGAUGACACGUAAAUUCGUGGGGCGUUCUAAAAUGCC
RNAcentral lists this small nuclear RNA (96 nucleotides) under Ancylostoma duodenale. Lineage: Eukaryota; Metazoa; Nematoda; Chromadorea; Rhabditida; Ancylostomatidae. The record is from RNAcentral.